RNAcentral lists this ribosomal RNA (478 nucleotides) under uncultured bacterium. RNAcentral describes it as "partial 16S ribosomal RNA". It matches the Rfam family "Bacterial small subunit ribosomal RNA", at positions 28 to 507 of the family's 1533-position model. The record is from RNAcentral.
GAUGAACGCUGGCGGCGUGCUUAACACAUGCAAGUCGAACGGGAAACCUUUUAUUGAAGCUUCGGCAGAUUUAGCUGGUUUCUAGUGGCGGACGGGUGAGUAACGCGUGGGUAACCUGCCUUAUACAGGGGGAUAACAGUCAGAAAUGGCUGCUAAUACCGCAUAAGCGCACAGAGCUGCAUGGCCCAGUGUGAAAAACUCCGGUGGGAUAAGAUGGACCCGCGUUGGAUUAGCUGGUUGGUGGGGUAACGGCCCACCAAGGCGACGAUCCAUAGCCGGCCUGAGAGAGUGAGCGGCCACAUUGAGACUGAGACACGGCCGAGACUCCUACGGGAGGCAGCAGUGGGGAAUAUUGCACAAUGGGGGGAGCCCUGAUGCAGCGACGCCGCGUGAAGGAAGAAGUAUCUCGGUAUGUAAACUUCUAUCAGCAGGGAAGAUAAUGACGGUACCUGACGAAGAAGCCCCGGCUAACUACGUG